UGUGGAAUNCAGAGUGCCAGCUGUUUCUGG
Molecule: non-coding RNA, 30 nt
Filed under: Mus musculus (house mouse)
Lineage: Eukaryota; Metazoa; Chordata; Mammalia; Rodentia; Muridae
Source: RNAcentral